UUGUAAGCAUCCUUCCAUUAUAUAUAAGGUCAUGGAUAAUCAAACACCUUCACAUUGAAUCAGAAAAGAAGCAAUGGAGGCUCGUUCAUAUACGCUUAUACUCAUAUUGGUUGUCGGUGUAGUUGCUGCGUUGGGGCCAAGAACUUGCCAUGGCAGUGUGUAUAAGACGGAGCUUGCAAAAAUGUCCUUGGAGAAGGUUGCCAAAGCUGCUGAUGGUUUUAGAAAGCCACCAGUAAUUCUGUCCCCUCCUGAGCCCAACCGCUUUCAUCGUCAAGAUGCGCCACCAUCUCCACCACCAUUCCUUAACAAGGCUGGCUGAAACCCACAAUUCAUUUCAUUUCACAUCACCAACUUUACAUCCCUUCUUCUUUCCUGUCUAAUUAAGCUUGUUCAUGUAACAAUAAGAUUUCUCUCUUAUUUCCAAUUAUAUUCUGGAUUUAUAAAAGAAGUGAGGAAUUCCAUAAAAUUUGAAAUUGAGAGAUAACCAUACUUUAUUAGGUUUGCGAAAAUGUUUGAUUUUAUUAAUCAUUUUAAUAUUUAAAAAGAAGGAAUGCCCAUGUGAAUGACAAAUUGGCAUAUUCAUACACAACCACAAAGUUUGCUAGAGUUGAAUGGUUGGCAAUUUGACUUGAAAUUAAGGCUCUCAAAGAAAAAACAAUGGAGUUUAACUAACAAGUUGUAAAUGAUGAGCAUUUCAAGAUUCA
Molecule: long non-coding RNA, 704 nt
Filed under: Manihot esculenta (cassava)
Lineage: Eukaryota; Viridiplantae; Streptophyta; Magnoliopsida; Malpighiales; Euphorbiaceae
Description: long non-coding RNA (MESC_LNC005683)
Source: RNAcentral